CAGCAGCCGCGGUAAUACGUAGGGUGCAAGCGUUAAUCGGAAUUACUGGGCGUAAAGCGUGCGCAGGCGGUUAUAUAAGACAGAUGUGAAAUCCCCGGGCUCAACCUGGGAACUGAUUUGUGACUGUAUAGCUAGAGUACGGCAGAGGGGGAUGGAAUUCCGCGUGUAGCAGUGAAAUGCGUAGAUAUGCGGAGGAACACCGAUGGCGAAGGCAAUCCCCUGGGCCUGUACUGACGCUCAUGCACGAAAGCGUGGGGAGCAAACAGGAUUAGAUACCCCCGUAGUCCCUGUCUCUUAUACA
This 301-nucleotide ribosomal RNA is filed under the name uncultured bacterium. Its description in RNAcentral is "partial 16S ribosomal RNA". It matches the Rfam family "Bacterial small subunit ribosomal RNA", at positions 509 to 808 of the family's 1533-position model. The record is from RNAcentral.